AACAUAUUUAUAUAAUUAUUAAUAAUUUUGUUUUCUUCAUCUAUCAGGAAAGCAUUGGCUAUGGAAAGAGCCAAAAAGCAAGAGCAGAGACAGAGACAGACAGAAAGACAGAAAGACAGAGGGACAGAGACAGACAGAAACAGAGAGAGAGACAUGAAGAGCUGAGGCUUUGGGAAAGACCCAUACCCUUGCUACCAAGGUGUGGAGUCUACCAGCGAAGGAGUGGCUGAGGAUGCUGGUGGCCUGAGGUUCUGGAGGCUGAUGUGAUCCAGCUGUGAAUCCCCUUGUGAACAGGAGUUGGCAUGAGGGUCACAAAGAGACAGAGAGCCUGGCAGUAGUGAGAGAUGUAAGACCUGAUCCCCCAGGAACCAGGAAAGUUGUAAUUGGUCAGACCAUUGGGAGAUAGAGGAAGCAAACUGCCCAGGACCAUUGCUUGUAUAGCCCAGCCUGCUCAUGGGCAGCCUGGGGUGCCUACCUGUGUGGGCCAUUAACUGUGUCUUCCAGCAGGAAGGGGAGCAAGUCCAUCAGCAGCCUGGCAAGGAGCUGAGGAACAGGAUGGAGCCUCAGGCUAGUGCUCCAGGGAUGGGGCUCCUUGUUCUCCCCAACCUUCUCCAGGAGACAUCGAGGCUCACCCAAGGCCUGUGCAAGGGAAUGAUGAGCAGGAAGAGCUCAGAAAAACCUGGAAAUAUUUAGAUGAACUGAAGAUAAUUGAAACAAGUAGAACCAGGAAAAAACUACUGUACACACUGAUAGGAAUAGAAUACAACGAACAACUGUGAAUGACCCAGCUAUUCUCAGUAAUAUAAUGAUUUAAAUCAAUAUUAAAGGACUCAUGAUAAAAAAUGCCAUUUGAUUCCAAAGAACGAACUGAUGGUGUCUGAAUCCAGACUAAAGCAAACUUUCUUCACCUUCUUUCUUAGAGUUUUUUGUUCUAGUUCUUUCCACAAAAGGAUUAAUGUGGGUGUUUCAUAUUAUUACACAUGUAAAUUCAAUAAGAGAUUUCUAAACAUCUUAGGGGAUAGGAAGAGGGAAGAAAAGAAUUCAAGACUCAAAAUCCUGACUAAAAUGUUAGGAAAUGUUUUUGAAUGCAAUUGGGGGGAAAUAAAUUAAUUUUUUUUUAUUUAAGAAAAAAAGAA
This 1136-nucleotide long non-coding RNA is filed under the name Monodelphis domestica (gray short-tailed opossum). Its description in RNAcentral is "lncRNA (ENSMODG00000037912.1)". Lineage: Eukaryota; Metazoa; Chordata; Mammalia; Didelphimorphia; Didelphidae. The record is from RNAcentral.